This 192-nucleotide unclassified non-coding RNA is filed under the name uncultured cyanobacterium. RNAcentral describes it as "partial 16S-23S ribosomal RNA intergenic spacer". The record is from RNAcentral. Lineage: Bacteria; Bacillati; Cyanobacteriota.
CGGUUCGAGUCCGCUUACCUCCACUGAUCGACCUCCUGAUAACGAAAUGCCAGGAGAUUCAUUGAUGGUUGUGAUCUAGGAUUUGUUCUCUUGAUCAAGAACCUAGCUUCUUGUCAUCCAAUUCUCAAUUACUUUGUUUUGGUUGAUAUGACGCUGGGCUCGCUGCAAUUACAAUUGCAGAGAUCUUCAGUA